Benincasa hispida (wax gourd) is the source of this 2215-nucleotide non-coding RNA. The record is from RefSeq and is a predicted model, not a curated record. Lineage: Eukaryota; Viridiplantae; Streptophyta; Magnoliopsida; Cucurbitales; Cucurbitaceae.
ACAAGGUUAGUUUAUACAAGAUGAAGGUGAAAGGAAAUGAAAAUUAUGUCGUGAAGUAUUCUUUGCGUGGAUUUCCACAAGCGUUCCAGGUAUGGACAUAUGAGAUCCUAACUGCAUCAAUAGCUGAGAACAUUGCAGAGCAAAGGAGCAAGGUGGUUUUGCCUUGCAUAUUACGAUGGUCAUGCUCCCACUCAGUGUCCUUCAAAGUACUCGAGAGAGAUAUAUUCGAGUCUAACAAUGUACAUUUACUUUAUGCAUAAUAUGUUUAUUUGGUUGUUAAAUUAACACUAACCAAUUUACUGGGUUGUUAAUGCAGAUAAAGGUUAAAGAGGGUAUUGUCAUGAUAGACACUGAGAGGGAGUUUCGGGAUACCCCAGUGGACAGACGACCUAUAUUUGAUCUAGGUGCCAAUGAUGAUAGUGCUGAAAGUAGCAAUACGUCGAGUAGUGGGGGGUAGUUCUGAAAGCGACAGUGAUGAUCAUUAUGGAGGUAACAAUGAUGAAUGUGGACGGGUGGAGGGAGGGGAUGAACAUGAGCAUUCUGAGCACGAGGAUGUUGAAUGUGGAAGGGUGGAAGGAGGGGAUGAACACAAGUAUUUUGAGCACGAGGAUGUUGAAUGUGGAAGGGUGGAAGGAGGGACAUACACACCUAAUGAUGAUAUGUUCCAUGAUGUGAUGGGGGAUGUACACGAUGAGGACCCACCUGAUGUUCAUCUUGCAAACUCCCAUAGAGGAGAGCGAUCUAUGGAUGAAGAGUGUCCUGAGUGUGCUGCCCGCAGGGAAGGAGCCAAUCCGAACGAUUCUAUUUAUCCGUACCUGCGGACGAUUAAUAGCUCACUAUCGAGGUUGGAUGGUCGUAUAUCGAGUUUAAAUAGUCAUGUAUCAAAUAUAGAGGAAAACAUGACAGACAUGAAAGGACAAUUGUCGGUCAUCCUGUCACUGUUGCAGUUAAUGUGCAAGGGUUCCACGGUGAAUAAGGAGACGACAAGGUUACCCAUCCAUUUCGGGAUCCCGAUACCAUUGAUGCGACUGCCUCUGAUACUCCUAUCCCUCUUGUAGAGCCUUAAAAUACCACCACUUCACCUACUCCCAUCCCCCCUCUAAAGCCUGAUACCACAACAUCACCCACUGGCGUUGAACCUAUAGAGGCCGACGUCCCACAAACAGAGGCCGACAUAUCUGACUUACUCACCAUGCCACAUACAAAGGUGACAUGUUUGACAUCCCAGAGGCCGACACUUCUGGUAUUGUUACGACCACAGAAGAAGUUACACUAGAAUCUCGAAGAACUACUAGUAAGAGGAAAGUUGUUGAUAAAUAUACGCCUUCAGCUCAAGUAAAAAAGAAAAGUGUGGUUAAUUAUCCUCUCCCAGGUGUGCCUAUGUCACUAUCCAGAGCAAUUGUCACGUACAACGUAGCACAUGAUGUUCCACUUAAUAUCUUUACAGAAAUGAUGGGCUAGAUCUCAGAUGAGAAUACUAAUAACGAGGUUCGAGAGAAUUCCUUUAAACCACUUGCCAAGCAAUUUUUCAAGGAAUUGAUUGAACCGAGUUCGUGGGUCGAGUACGAUUCACCUUAAUGCUUGUGGCGGGGUAUUUAAACGAAUAAAGAAUAAGACGAGACUGGAGGCUGCCAUAACAUGGAAGGAUGAAGACACGUACAAGUUCUACAUCACCGGUAAAUUCGAUGUCAAAUGGGCGAAUGUGGAUAUAGUGUAUACGACAAUGAAUAUCAGUGAGCCCUGGAUGGUCCUUGCAAUGGACAUUAACAGAGGUCAUAUAUUUGUGUUCGAUUCACUUCCGUCAUACACACCAAGGACAAAGCUGGUGAAUUGGUUGGAGCCAUUGACUGUCACAGUACCAUCCCCACUUCACUACUGUGACGUGGAUUAUUCAAAGUCGGACCUAUCCACACCUCGUUGGAAAAUCUUGUGACCUAUAAAUGCGACAUACAACACGGGUCGCUUGAUUGUGGCAUCUUUGCAAUAAAAUUACUAGAACAUCCAGUGACUGGUGUUGAUUCGUCCAUAAUCACUCAGGAGAAAAUGAGUGAAUAUAGGAUGCAGUUAACGUGUCAAUUGUGGGCGAACACUCUGUAUUUGUGUAUAAAACAUGUAUUUUUAUUGCAUUUUUUGUGUAUGUUGAAGGAUCUCAAAACGAGAGUUCCAUGAGCGGGUUUAGAUCGCUCUGAUUUCACCGUGACCGAAAUAUAAAUGA